Molecule: unclassified non-coding RNA, 362 nt
Filed under: soil metagenome
Description: partial contains 5.8S ribosomal RNA, internal transcribed spacer 2, and large subunit ribosomal RNA
Rfam family: 5.8S ribosomal RNA (bases 1-120)
Source: RNAcentral
GAUGAAGAACGCAGCGAAAUGCGACAAGUAAUGUGAAUUGCAGAAUUCAGUGAAUCAUCGAAUCUUUGAACGCACCUUGCGCUCCUUGGUAUUCCGAGGAGCAUGCCUGUUUGAGUGUCAUUAAUAUAUCAACCUUCUCUUUUUUGAGUUGUUUGGAUGUGGGGGUUUGCUGGCCUCUUAAAUGAUUCAGCUCCCCUGAAAUGCAUUAGCAGAACAACCUGUUCAUUAGCGUGAUAAUUAUCUAUGCUAUUGAAUGUGAGGGCAGUUCAGCUUUCUAACCGUCCUUGGACAAUUCAUCAUUAAUGUGACCUCAAAUCAGGUAGGACUACCCGCUGAACUUAAGCAUAUCAAUAAGCGGAGGA